ACGGGUGAGUAAUGUCUGGGAACUGCCUGAUGGAGGGGGAUAACUACUGGAAACGGUAGCUAAUACCGCAUAACGUCGCAAGACCAAAGAGGGGGACCUUCGGGGCCUCUUGCCAUCGGAUGUGCCCAGAUGGGAUUAGCUAGUAGGUGGGGUAACGGCUCACCUAGGCGACGAUCCCUAGCUGGUCUGAGAGGAUGACCAGCCACACUGGAACUGAGACACGGUCCAG
RNAcentral lists this ribosomal RNA (229 nucleotides) under uncultured bacterium. RNAcentral describes it as "partial 16S ribosomal RNA". It matches the Rfam family "Bacterial small subunit ribosomal RNA", at positions 102 to 334 of the family's 1533-position model. The record is from RNAcentral.